This 75-nucleotide transfer RNA is filed under the name Corynebacterium pseudotuberculosis. Its description in RNAcentral is "tRNA-Met". The record is from RNAcentral. Lineage: Bacteria; Bacillati; Actinomycetota; Actinomycetes; Mycobacteriales; Corynebacteriaceae.
UCUGUUCUUUUAUCUGGCAUUGUUCAGGUGGGAGAUUGGGGCGGUGUAGCUCAGUGGUAGAGCAAGCGACUCAUA